RNAcentral lists this long non-coding RNA (1385 nucleotides) under Homo sapiens (human). Its description in RNAcentral is "non-protein coding lnc-CAMKK2-1:1". The record is from RNAcentral. Lineage: Eukaryota; Metazoa; Chordata; Mammalia; Primates; Hominidae.
GUUCUGACCACCCACCAUGCCAGGCUAUUAACUUCUCCUGGAAGUUUCAACAGUAACCACAAUAGCAGUCCUCCUGCCUCCCGGCACUGCCCCCCACUCCACCCCUGCCCCUGCACUGCUCCCGCUCUAAGCAUUGCCUCCCUUCUCCUGGGCUUUCACCUUCCAGAUUAGGGGGAGGGUUAUCACUGUUAUCACCCCCUCUCCCAGAUAAGGAAAUUGACACCCAGAGAGGGAAAUGUGGGCGUCAAUUCGAGAUGUGGAGGCUGCCCUGAACAGUCCUGCCCAGAAUGUGCAUGAGUGAAUGGAACCUGACCCUCCUGACUCAUAUGAGAGAAGGUAUUUAUUAAUAGUACGCUCCCCCAUCCCCAAGUGGGCAUGGGGUUGGUGCACACGGAAGUAGUCCUCUGCAGGCCUGGUCCCCCCACCACCCCCACGCCCCAAAGGCCCACACUGAAUUCUAGGGAAAGCUGGGUUGGGCAGAGUCAAGCCAGGAAGGCAACCUGGAGGAGGUGCUGGAGUCGGAGCUGGCUGCCUCUCCCUUUCCAGAGGCCCUCUUUCUUGAGAGGGCUGACAUUUUUCCUCACCUGGUCAGGGCUGGGACAAGUAGGGUGAGGAUUCCUUCCUGUUUUCUGGGGUAGGCUAAGAAAAAAAAAUACUCCAGUAAGGUCCUCUGUUAUUUACAAAGCUUCCCCUUAGCUGUGUGGCCUGGGGCAAGUCACUCCAGCUCUCUGUGCUUCCGUUUCUCAGCCUGUAAAAUGGGGCCAACAAUAGUGUCUACCUUGUAGGGCUUUUGGGGGAAAGAUGAGUUAAUCCAGGUGAAGGGCUUUGAGCUAGACCUGGCAUGUAACACAGUGGUACACACCUGCGGCCCCAGCUCCUCAGCCUCCCAAGUAGCUGGGAUUACAGGCAUAUGCCACCACAUCCGGCUAAUUUUUGUAUUUUUAGUAGAGACAGCGUUUCACCAUGUUGCCCAGGCUGGUCUUGAACUCUUGACCUCAAGCGAUCCGCCCGCCUCAGCCUCCCAAAGUGCUGGGAUUACAAGCAUGCGCCACAGCGCCCGGUCUAGACCAUGACUUUUAUAUGAGAGAAAGAGAAGCCCAUUGGGCCGGGUGUGGUAGCUCACGCCUGUAAUCCCAGCACUUUGGGAGGCCGAGGUAGGCAGAUCACCUGAGGUCAGGAAUUCAAGACCAGCCUGGCCAACAUGGUGAAACCCCGUCUCUACUAAAAAUACAAAAAUUAGCCGGACACAGUGGCGGGCGCCUGUAAUCCCAGCUAUUUGGGAGGCUGAGGCAGGAGAAUUGCUUAAACCCGGGAGGCAGAGGUUGCAGUAAGCCGAGAUUGUGCCACUGCACUCCAGCCUGGGCGAAAGAGUGAGACUCCAUCUC